UUUAGAGGAAGUAAAAGUCGUAACAAGGUCUCCGUUGGUGAACCAGCGGAGGGAUCAUUG
This 60-nucleotide ribosomal RNA is filed under the name Cytospora sp. RJ-2015. RNAcentral's name for it is "partial 18S ribosomal RNA". It matches the Rfam family "Eukaryotic small subunit ribosomal RNA", at positions 1772 to 1831 of the family's 1831-position model. Lineage: Eukaryota; Fungi; Ascomycota; Sordariomycetes; Diaporthales; Cytosporaceae. The record is from RNAcentral. RNAcentral also lists the same sequence under 1 other name.